Long non-coding RNA from Salvelinus namaycush (lake trout), 8909 nucleotides. RefSeq lists it as uncharacterized. NCBI's taxonomy places the organism in Eukaryota, Metazoa, Chordata, Actinopteri, Salmoniformes, Salmonidae. The transcript has 2 exons. The record is from RefSeq and is a predicted model, not a curated record.
AUAGGUGUGUGUGUGUGUGGGGAUAUUGAAAGAUAUAUAAAGUUACCUAGGUUACUAGCUUGAUCCGAGCUUGAUAUAACUAGCAAUAUAAUAUUUGUGCCGUGUUCUUCAUUAACGAUACGUUUGAAUUAUGACGUGAUUCUAACUGUUUAAACAGCACACCGCUGGGGGGGGGGGCCUACGCUAGCCACAGCACGAGAAUAUGUGAUUAUCCAAACCAAACUUAUUUUUAUAUAUAAAUACAGACAAGAUGUAAGAUCUCCAUUUUGGCUUUCAAGGGAUUGUUGCUCUUUUAUUUAGGGAUUAGGGAUGAUUCCUUACUUGAAAAACACACGUAACUCAGUCAAACCUUAGUCAGAUGGCAACAUCAGAUUUAUGCAAAAAUAUUGAAGUUACUCACUUCCAUGUCCGGUUAGGAUUUGGGCUUUUUAGUUUUUCUUUUGGAUUUCUCUGACCCCUGGGAUGCGUUCCAUAGGAGCCUGGCAUGCAUUCCAAAUGGCACACUAUUCCCUAUAUAGUGCACUACUUCUGACUCUAUGGGCUCUGGCCAAAAGCUGUGUAAUAUAUAGUGUGCCAUUUGGGACUUGGCCCUGGUGUAAAUAUAUGUUUGUGCUGGCUGAGUUGUACUAGGCCCUGGAAUGUGAUGAGGUGUUGCUGCCCCCCCGGUGUGUCUGUGGUAGGAUUUGCAUGGUGUUUCUAUUGCCUUACCUACUGUCACGGAGUAUCCCUUUGCCAAACACCUGGUAGUACACACCUGGUAGUACACACCUCUCGUGUGAGAGAAGAGGGUGCGGGGGGGAGAGGAGGAGGAAGAGGGGAGGCUGGAGAGAGUGCUGUAAUUUAGGUCUUAGAAAAUCUAACUAUAUAAGAAUUUAAUGUUCCAUUGACAAGAGAAAGUACAGGGGACAGAGUUUAUCACAUAUUAGAUGGUAUAGUUCAGGGGACAGUUAUCACAUAUUAGUGGCGGUGAGGUAAUACCAUCUAUUGUCUAGUUGGCGGUGAGGUAAUACCAUCUAUUGUCUAGUUGGCGGUGAGGUAAUACCAUCUGUUGUCUAGUUGGCGGUGAGGUAAUACCAUCUGUUGUCUAGUUGGCGGUGAGGUAAUACCAUCUGUUGUCUAGUUGGCGGUGAGGUAAUACCACCUGUUGUCUAGUUGGCGGUGAGGUAAUACCACUUAUUGUCUAGUUGGCGGUGAGGUAAUACCAUCUGUUGUCUAGUUGUCGGUGAGGUAAUACCAUCUGUUGUCUAGUUGGCGGUGAGGUAAUACCAUCUAUUGUCUAGUUGGCGGUGAGGUAAUACCACCUAUUGUCUAGUUGGCGGUGAGGUAAUACCAUCUGUUGUCUAGUUGGCGGUGAGGUAAUACCACCUGUUGUCUAGUUGGCGGUGAGGUAAUACCACCUAUUGUCUAGUUGGCGGUGAGGUAAUACCACCUAUUGUCUAGUUGGCGGUGAGGUAAUACCACCUAUUGUCUAGUUGGCGGUGAGGUAAUACCACCUAUUGUCUAGUUGGCGGUGAGGUAAUACCACCUAUUGUCUAGUUGGCGGUGAGGUAAUACCACCUAUUGUCUAGUUGGCGGUGAGGUAAUACCAUCUAUUGUCUAGUUGGCGGUGAGGUAAUACCAUCUAUUGUCUAGUUGGCGCUGAGGUAAUACCAUCUAUUGUCUAGUUGGCGCUGAGGUAAUACCAUCUAUUGUCUAGUUGGCGCUGAGGUAAUACCAUCUAUUGUCUAGUUGGCGCUGAGGUAAUACCAUCUAUUGUCUAGUUGGCGCUGAGGUAAUACCAUCUAUUGUCUAGUUGGCGCUGAGGUAAUACCAUCUAUUGUCUAGUUGGCGCUGAGGUAAUACCAUCUAUUGUCUAGUUGGCGCUGAGGUAAUACCAUCUAUUGUCUAGUUGGCGCUGAGGUAAUACCAUCUAUUGUCUAGUUGCCGGUGAGGUAAUACCAUCUAUUGUCUAGUUGCCGGUGAGGUAAUACCAUCUAUUGUCUAGUUGCCGGUGAGGUAAUACCAUCUAUUGUCUAGUUGCCGGUGAGGUAAUACCAUCUAUUGUCUAGUUGGCGGUGAGGUAAUACCAUCUAUUGGCUAGUUGGCGGUGAGGUAAUGCCAUCUAUUGGCUAUUUGGCGGUGAGGUAAUGCCAUCUAUUGGCUAGUUGGCGGUGAGGUAAUGCCAUCUAUUGGCUAGUUGGCGGUGAGGUAAUGCCAUCUAUUGGCUAGUUGGCGGUGAGGUAAUGCCAUCUAUUGGCUAGUUGGCGGUGAGGUAAUGCCAUCUAUUGGCUAGUUGGCGGUGAGGUAAUGCCAUCUAUUGGCUAGUUGGCGGUGAGGUAAUGCCAUCUAUUGGCUAGUUGGCGGUGAGGUAAUGCCAUCUAUUGGCUAGUUGGCGGUGAGGUAAUGCCAUCUAUUGGCUAGUUGGCGGUGAGGUAAUGCCAUCUAUUACCCAGUUGGCGGUGAGGUAAUACCAUCUAUUGUCUAGUUGGCGGUGAGGUAAUAGUGUGGUGAUUGUGUGUAGGGUUACAACUGAUAUCAGUUGUUGUUUUUGCGUUCUGCUGUUGAAUCCUCCAACCAGGAUUUCUGUGAAACGGGAAUUUGAGAAAAGGUACCGUAAUUUUGCAACUCUGCCGUGUUGGAAAGAAAUGGGAAUGACAACUUGUAACGUUGCAUCGGCCAUUGUGAAUGUGAUAAGUACUAUUUGUCACUGUGAUGCGGAUAAGUACUAGGAAUCAUUGUGAUGGGGAUAAGUACUAGGAAUCAUUGUGAUGGGGAUAAGUACUAGGAAUCAUUGUGAUGGGGAUAAGUACUAGGAAUCAUUGUGAUGGGGAUAAGUACUAGGAAUCAUUGUGAUGGGGAUAAGUACUAGGAAUCAUUGUGAUGGGGAUAAGUACUAGGAAUCAUUGUGAUGGGGAUAAGUACUAGGAAUCAUUGUGAUGGGGAUAAGUACUAGGAAUCAUUGUGAUGGGGAUAAGUACUAGGAAUCAUUGUGAUGGGGAUAAGUACUAGGAAUCAUUGUGAUGGGGAUAAGUACUAGGAAUCAUUGUGAUGGGGAUAAGUACUAGGAAUCAUUGUGUUGGGGAUAAGUACUAGGUGUCAUUGUGUUGGGGAUAAGUACUAGGUGUCAUUGUGUUGGGGAUAAGUACUAGGUGUCAUUGUGUUGGGGAUAAGUACUAGGUGUCAUUGUGUUGGGGAUAAGUACUAGGUGUCAUUGUGUUGGGGAUAAGUACUAGGUGUCAUUGUGUUGGGGAUAAGUACUAGGUGUCAUUGCGAUGAUGGUAAGUUCCAGGUAUCAUUGUGAUGAUGGUAAGUACUAGGCAUCAUGGGGAUAAGUACUAGGCAUCAUUGUACCAGGUAUCAUUGGUAUAGUGUUAUGUACCAGGUAUCAUGGGGAUAAGUACCAGGUAUCAUGGGGAUAAGUACCAGGUAUCAUGGGGAUAAGUACCAGGUAUCAUGGGGAUAAGUACUAGGUAUCAUUGGUAUGGGGAUAUGUACUAGGUAUUGAUGGGUAUUAUUCUCUGUCCUUCAUAGGGUGCAUUUUAAAUGGCACUAUUCCUCUUCGUACACUCGUUUUUGACAGGAGCCACCUAGGGAGCCUCUAUAUCAGACAGGGUGUCAUUUGAGAUGAAAUCAUAGAUCUAACGACAACCAGGGUUUGGCAAGGGAUACGUCUUUUAAUUUAGACCGUGAUGAACCUAACCGCAGAAAUUCUAGUAAAGAGAUGUAUUUGCACACACACUUCAUGCAUACAACACCAGCAGACAGACACAACAACUUCCAUAAUUCACUUUUUUUAAUUUAUUUUUUUGAAUGAACAUGUGUUUUUUUUUUCUGUGUUCUAUUUCUACAGGUUUGGUUUUCGAUGCAGUAUGUUCAUUCAAGGUUUUCUUGCAUCGUUUUGCCACUUCCUUUUUAGGCACUUUUGAAGUUAUGCACUUAGAAAACAUGUUUUAUUAAAUAAUGCACCCACCCACAGUGCAAUGCUCUUUGAAAUGAUUAGAUUAAUACUGGAGAUGGAAGGUAUGACACACAAAGGAUUAUUAAAGUGAAACAAUCACAUUCACAGCAUCAUUUCAUACCUCCUUAAAGAAUAUCAGAGAUACUGUGACAUUUCUGUUAUUUUCUUGAGGAAGUGCGUGGUGUAUUUCCUGAUAUUAGGGAAACCUAUUUUCUCCCUUCACUGCUACACUGACUGAAGAUGGUUUGAUGUUAUGCCCUUAGACACAGAUCUAGGAUCAGCUUACCUUCAAUCAUAACCUUAAAUAUCAAUUGGGGGGGGCAGUUAAAGCUGAACUCAGAUCAGUAUCUAUGGGUUGAGUGGAGCUUAUGGAUCCAAAGUCUGGUAGUGUGACCUUUUCACUGACAGCAGUUGUGAGGGAGGAGUCAUAUGUUCAAUGAUUAUGUUCCCAUCGGAGUCUGGUAGCAACUUGUUCUGUGGAUCCCCCAUUUCCCCUUGUGGAGUUGAACCGACUGGGUUAAACAACAUCGGAAUAGUAGCAUUUUUUGGAUUGUUUGGUAACAGAAAAAUGAAUGUGGACGAUGGGGUUAAAAGCUGUAUGUUUUAUUUCAAACUUUUCUCAGUCUGAAGUGUCUUUUUGGAAGGAUAUCUGUAACGCGGCAGGAUUUCCUCAUUUUGGGGGGUGACUAAAUAUGCAAGCUAUGAGAGGACCCUUGUCAUUGCACCUGUUUAUAUAGCAAGUCAUUCCCUUAUGGUUAUAUUGUCCUGCCUGAUGUGAUGUCUCGGUAGGUUGAGCCUGUGAGGUUGAGAGCCAUGACUUUAUGCAAUGUCUUACCGUAUUAUAUGUUCAACUCUGUAAUGAUGAGGAUGAUUCAUGGUCUGCAAUGAGGACGAUUCGUGGUCUGCAAUGAGGACGAUUCGUGGUCUGCAAUGAGGACGAUUCGUGGUCUGCAAUGAGGACGAUUCGUGGUCUGCAAUGAGGACGAUUCGUGGUCUGCAAUGAGGACGAUUCGUGGUCUGCAAUGAGGACGAUUCGUGGUCUGCAAUGAGGACGAUUCGUGGUCUGCAAUGAGGACGAUUCGUGGUCUGCAAUGAGGAUGAUUCGUGGUCUGCAAUGAGGAUGAUUCGUGGUCUGCAAUGAGGAUGAUUCAUGGUCUGCAAUGAGGAUGAUUCAUGGUCUGCAAUGAGGACGAUUCGUGGUCUGCAAUGAGGACGAUUCGUGGUCUGCAAUGAGGACGAUUCGUGGUCUGCAAUGAGGAUGAUUCGUGGUCUGCAAUGAGGAUGAUUCAUGGUCUGCAAUGAGGAUGAUUCAUGGUCUGCAAAGGUCUGCAAUGAGGACGAUUCAUGGUCUGCAAUGAGGAUGAUUCGUGGUCUGCAAUGAGGAUGAUUCGUGGUCUGCAAUGAGGAUGAUUCGUGGUCUGCAAUGAUGGUGACUCGUGGUCUGCAAUGAUGGUGACUCGUGGUCUGCAAUGAUGAUGAUUCGUGCUCUGCAAUGAUGGUGAUUCGUGCUCUGCAAUGAGGGCGAUUCGUGCUCUGCAAUGAGGGCGAUUCGUGCUCUGCAAUGAGGGCGAUUCGUGCUCUGCAAUGAGGGCGAUUCGUGCUCUGCAAUGAGGAUGAUUCAUGGUCUGCAAUGAGGAUGAUUCGUGGUCUGCAAUGAGGAUGAUUCGUGGUCUGCAAUGAGGAUGAUUCAUGGUCUGCAAUGAGGAUGAUUCAUGGUCUGCAAUGAGGAUGAUUCAUGGUCUGCAAUGAGGACGAUUCGUGGUCUGCAAUGAGGAUGAUUCGUGGUCUGCAAUGAGGAUGAUUCGUGGUCUGCAAUGAGGAUGAUUCAUGGUCUGCAAUGAGGAUGAUUCAUGGUCUGCAAAGGUCUGCAAUGAGGACGAUUCAUGGUCUGCAAUGAGGAUGAUUCGUGGUCUGCAAUGAGGAUGAUUCGUGGUCUGCAAUGAUGGUGACUCGUGGUCUGCAAUGAUGGUGACUCGUGGUCUGCAAUGAUGAUGAUUCAUGGUCUGCAAUGAUGGUGAUUCGUGCUCUGCAAUGAGGGCGAUUCGUGCUCUGCAAUGAGGGCGAUUCGUGCUCUGCAAUGAGGGCGAUUCGUGCUCUGCAAUGAGGGCGAUUCGUGCUCUGCAAUGAGGACGAUUCGUGCUCUGCAAUGAGGACGAUUCGUGCUCUGCAAUGAGGACGAUUCGUGCUCUGCAAUGAGGACGAUUCGUGCUCUGCAAUGAGGACGAUUCGUGCUCUGCAAUGAUGGUGACUCGUGGUUUUGGACACGUUGUGCUUUGCUUGACAUGCAAAAUAUAUUCAAAUUUGGUAAGAGACUAAGCUUGGCAUUGAUCUGACAGAGCAGCUAGUAAUGGUCAUAGACGACAAGCUAUUUUAGGAUUCUAUGCACCAUGGUUGUCUAAAGGGAAAUGGUUGUCCACGGAACAAGUGACCUCCAAACAGACAUUUGAGACUAAAUAAAUCUAGAAAAUAAUGAAACAUUAGCUAAAUAACUUUCUCUACAUCACUAACAUGUGAAGCAGCAUUUAUAUAUUAGUAGUCUUUGUUUUUUGGUUUUUCGGGUCUACUUUUGUGUGCAGUCUAUCAACAAAGACUACCAGAAUAGUAAGAUAUUAAACAAAUCAGUGGAUUAAAUAUAUAUUUCUAAUUGUGAAAAAUGAAAAUGAACUCCUAUUCACUGAAGUGCCAAUCCUGACCAACGAAAGACUUGAGGUUGAUUAAACGUCUUUUGACUUAGUGAUCAUAAUCUUUUUUUUCCUUGAAUGUGCACGUUUGUAGUGCAAGAUACUGUUGCUGUUUUUUUUCUUAUCUUCUAGUUCCAUGACUUGCCGUGGUUUCUCUAAACAAGUGGCAUUCUUUACUGCUUUUGCACACAAAAAACUGUGGGAUGGAGUCAGAACAGAGGAAUGAUUUAAUCGUCAAAAAAAAAGAAUAAUACGUAUUUUAUUCUAUCAUGGUGAUCUGUCUAAGUGAAUAAUGAUGCUCUUUUCUUCCAUUUGAACAUGUUUUCACUGUUCAGAUCUCACGCUGAUGCAACUGCAGGACCGCCAGUCCAGACAUGGGUUUGAUUAGAGAAAGGCAGAGCCAUCAAGUCUAAUUUUAGGCUGAGAGACUGCAUUGCACAGUAGGUCCCUGAGUUUUUCCUUAGUCGGGUAAUAUGGUCUGGAAAAGCUCCGAGCCCAGGUUCAGGUCAGUUAUAGCAGGCCAAUACAAGGCCACGUUCAGUAGAAAAACAUUAAACGUUGCAGAUAGAGAAGCCACAAAUGGAGCGAAUGUGAUUCAUUAUUCUACAUUUUAGAGGCAUGUUUGUUCUACAUAGCAUAUUUCUAUCUUAAUGUUCCAAACUGUUGUGCCCUGCUGAACGGUCUGCUCAACUUGGGUCGUGCCAACAUGGAAGUUCAUCUACCCACAAACAGCUAACAGCCACACAAUGAGUAACCCAUCUACCCACAAACAACUAACAGCUAAUUCAAAAUGGAGACGACUCAUUUUUGUAUUUAUUUUUUGACUUUGUGGUGCUUUGCCAUUGCAUGUAUAUUGACUUGGAUAUGGAGGGUAUAUAAUUAUUAUUGGCUGUCCAGACCGUCACUCAAUCAACCAAUCACUUGUCCAGAGACAACUUUCAGCUAUCUCUUAAUUUAGCACAAUGAAUCAGAAGCCACAUCCUUGGCUGAGAAUGAACAACCUACCAACCAACCAGAGCUGCAAUAGAAUAUUCUCUAAAAGUCAGCCGUCCCCAGGGAUUCAUUUAAGACUGCUUCCAAAAGUGCAUCCUAUUCCCUAUCUAAUGCACUACUUUUAGAACAGGGGUCCAUGGGGCUCUGGUGAAAAGUAGUGCAUUAAAUAGGGAAUAGACUGUCAUUUGGGACAGAACCUUCUUCCCUUCCUUCUCCCUCUUCCGUGCAAUUACCAGAGCUGAAUGAAUCAUACACACGUGUAAUGAUUUCUGCAAAGUGCUGAAAUGCUUCAUAUGGCAAUAGUAAAAGGACAGGAGGUUUUUCCUGACCAGAAGAAAAUCAAAUGUUAUUUGAGACAUGCGUCCAAUACCCCAGGUGUAGAUCUUACAGUGAAAUGCUUACAAGCCCUUAACCAGUUUUAAGAAGAAAGUGUUAAAGUAUUUAUUUACCAAAAUAUCAGUGUCCCAAAUGGCACUAUAUACCCUAUAGCAGGGGUAUUUUCUCUUCUACUUGAUAAUUAAUUUCACACAUCUGGUGUCCCAGGUCUAAAUCGGUCCCUGAUUAGAAGGGAACAAUGAAAUAGUGCAGUGAAACUGGCUUUGAGGUCCAGAGUUGAGUUUGAGGACCCUAUAUAAUGCACUACUUUUGACCAGAAACCUAUUGGCCAUGGUCAAAAGUAGUGCACUGUAUGUGGAAUAGGGUGCCAUUUGGGAGGGCCUACUGGGUUGUAGUUAUUUGCUAUAGUGUUUCCCUGUCAGGCUCUAUGGUCAGGAAUAACUCCUACACCUAGGCAAAGAUUUGAAAAAUAAUAAAGAUAACAUUUAAAUGGGACUUUUCUUGUCGUAGAUCCUGUAAAUGGAUAUAUCUCCCGAAAAUCCCAAGCCACGCCUUAGUGCUCAGCUUUGUCAAAUAAAUAAUGCUAUCUAUUCUACAAUUGUUUACAAUGCGACAUGUUUGUAAAGUAUUUUUCAUAUGUCAUAACUGACCAGUCUUGAUGUAUACUCUUUGAAUCUCUCAUUUAUCCUUUGCAAUGUAUUUAUUUCUAAAACAAAUAUUUUUUCAUUUUCCCCCCCCUUUUUUUUUUUUUUUCUUACGAUAAACCAUCUUAUACUGUGACUUGACUUGACUGACGGUAUGAAUGAGUGACUAGAAACUGAUACACUUCAACAGAACAUGACACAAACAGGAAUACAUAAACAAACAAAAAAUGCAUUAACAAAUAUUGGAAAUGUAUACAAGUGAAAAAAAGUAAAUGGAAACUGUAAAAUAUAUAUAUUAAAACAAAUGUUGCAACCCUU